CUCAACACUUUUAACACCAUCUUUCUCAAUCUUCUUAUAUUUUUACUCUCUGCAGUUCUAUGGGUAAGCAAGUGGUUCAUCCUUCGUUAUCUUUCUGCUCCCAAUAAACAACCAUCCAAUUCCAUGGUAUUUCUCUUCAAUUUUCCCACCACCUAUCUAUUUAUUUCUGAUUAUUAACUCUUUAUCGUCAAAUGAUGUUAUUUGAUCGAAAUUAGAGAGUAGUGUAUCUGAUUUGACUAAAUGUUAAAGUUCAAAAUUGAAUAAUUUAAUGGAUUACGAAUUUGGGAACAGCCCUAAAUUGAGACUGAGGAAGUACUUUCUUCAACAUGAUGAUUUAGCGUAAAAGGUUUGAUUUUUUCCCCAAGUUUUUUGUUAUGUCUAAACUGAAAAAUUGAAGUGGAAAUAAGAUACAAUUUGCUAAUUCAUGUGGUUUACGAAGAACAUGGAGUGAGAGGAUACGAUUUUUUAGAGACACACGCAGAAAGGGGUGUGAGAUUUGUAACAUUGAUAUUUGUAAUGCACACCAGAUGUUGCAAAAAUGUCACCAUUAGAAAAUCAAGACUUUCUUUGUAUGAUUCACAAUUUUGCCCAGUUUUUGUGUGGUCUGAUUCGGAUGAGGUUUAUCCCCAAUUUUUUCUAUUAUUUUCUUGUGGGUUUCACAGUAUGAAAAAACUGAUGUGUUUCACAAUAUAACAUUAUUUUGAGCUUAUUAAAUAGAGAAAAAACAAGAAAUUGUAUCUACAAGUCUCUUAAUCGAAAUUAAAAGCAAAACGUCAGCAUGCUUACUCCGAGGUUGAUAAAACUCCAAAAGGAUAGCAAACAUUCUCUAGAAUUUUGAUUUCUCUCAAGAACAAAAGUUCUUCUCCACAUAAUAUUGACUCUUCAUUGUUACUUAUACCUUCUCAAUUCAGUAUUGAUGCAUGUUAACAAAUUUUGAUUUCGUCAACAAAGCAACUUUUACUUAUAUUCUACAAUGGAUUGCUAACAGAUGCCUCCUCCAUUUUACAAAGUAGUUUUGGUGCCGACUUUAAAUAAGAAAGGCUUCCAAACUAUGUGGUCUAAUAAAAACCUUAGACUAUAAAUCAUUUUCUUAGGAUUAAAGAGAAACUUUAAAAUUAAAUCAUUAUUGAGUAUAAAAAGAUGAUAAUGUUUUUUACAAACAAAAAAAAAACUAAAAAGGGAAAUGCAUCACAUAGUUGGAACAAAGUGCACUACUUUACCUUCUUCAUACAACUGGCACUGUCUUCAUAUUUAUGUUGUUAAAGUCUUCUGUAUCUAUCUAAACUGAGCUACCAACUUUGAUUGCCCUCUUUCAGGUUUCUGCACGUGUACUUGUGAUUACUGUUCACAAGUGUCUUCAACUUCCUACACUUUUUUAAGUAUCGAUUUCUAUUUUUACAAUUAUAUUUGACUAAGUACUUCGCUCUGCCAGUCUCUUUAGUUGUUUUUAUUAUGCAUGUAUCCAAAACUUCCACUUCUCUUCACUUUACUUAUAAUAAUCACUUGACUUUCCUUUUGGAUUGCCUCCGCAAUAUAAAAGAUACAUGCAUGCCUAAGAUUUGAGGAGUCAUUCCAUCCUUGAUGAUCAAGUCGCAACUCUUUUUUGGGUAUCCGCUAUGUAUACAUAAAAAUGCAUCGCCUACUUUAUUAAUUGGUGUUGUUAUGUGCUGCUGGCUCCCAACUUCUAAAUGUCUAUGCUCACAAACUACUUACUAUAUAUUCUCCUCUAAAUAAACAAUUGCUUCAACCGAAACCUCCCAGUAUUUGACACUAUUCUGUGAAUUGAUUUACUGUUCUUCCACUUGAUUUGUCUAUUAUCGUUUAUCUCCCGUUACAAGUCUGGUAAGUUUCUGAGAGCUAUAAUAACCUCUACAUUACCAACCGACUCAAAUUAGUGUUCUCUUAAUUAGUUCCUACAUUUGAUUGAGUUGAACAACUUUACCCAACAUAGCUAAUAGUUGAAACCAAUUUCUGAUAGAAAUCUAUUGGUCAUUUUGUUUUAUCAACAGAAAAAAAAUUCACUCAACAAAAAAAUCUUAUACCAAUCAAGAUUGAAGUGAUACAACAUAUAGCUUUCAACUGUUAAAAUAUUUUCCAACUAUUGACACUAAACUGCUAAUAAUUUCUACUUCUCCUUUACAGGCUUCCAUCUGUGUUGUUGUGACUAUUAUUCUCAAGUUUGUUUGAUAUCCUGUUACUAUACUUCUGUAAGUUUCACUCUUUCAUUUCUGAUAAUUCUUUUUCGGUUAGCUUCUUCACUCUGUCUGCUUUUUAUUUGUUUACUACUUUCUUGAUAAUUCUUCAUCCUUAGAUUCUACAUUGUUCCUGCUUCUUAAUUAUUCACUACUUGUAUUCAUUUGUGCUCCUCUUACUUUGUUCUGCAAAUUUUGUUGUUUUGUGCCAUGGAAAAUGUAGUUGUAAAUAUAUGAUAAAGAAAAUGUUAUUAAAGAUGUUUGAAGUAGUAAUAAAGUUAACUAAUAUCUAUAGUUUAGUGUCUUAGAGGAUGAUCUAAAUUCGAGUUUGGUUGUAGAGCCUGUUUGGAUUGACUUUUCAUUUCUGACUUAUAAGCAAAAGUCAUAAGUUAGAAGUACUAACUUGUGGCUUAUUUUUAGCAUUUUAUCUUAAAAGUUAGUACUUGUGGCAUAUUUUUAGCAUUUUAGCUUAAAACUAAGUGCUUAUUAAACACUUUUUUGACUUAUUCACACACUCCAAAAGUGCUUAAAGGCUAUUUUAGCUUUAAAACACUUAAAAUAAGCUAAUCCAAUUGCGUUAUUAAGUUUGGUAAGUGUUUAAAUAGUUCCCUUGCUGUUUAUUUUGACUAAUGAUUCUGGAUCCAAUUGAUGUGGAGAAGUUGUUCAAGCUUUAGUACAAUAGUCCUGAAGUUCUUGAAACAAAGUCGACCUUGACCUGCUAUUUUUUCCCUUUUGUACCGUCUUGAUGACUGAUGCUUUAACAAGGUAUGUGACACUCUUUUAUUACUACACUCUACAUUCACUACUUAAAACACUUCUCCCAUUUCAAUAUAGAAUCUCUACAGAUAUUUUGUGCACACAAUUGCAGCUGUAAUUAAGAACGACAUGCCAACCACCAACAAAGUAAUCGACUGCAUUACUAUAUUACCUUUUACCGAUAUGUGCUUCUGUGAACAUUUGUAAAUGAUGUAUAAAUAGUGCAAUCACGAAUCUUAUGUACAAACAAUAUGUGUAUGUAUAAAUUAGCCAUCUUUAGCUAUUCGCCGCCUUAUCAAUAUGUGUAACUACUGUCCUCC
This 3268-nucleotide long non-coding RNA is filed under the name Solanum tuberosum (potato). Its description in RNAcentral is "long non-coding RNA (STUB_LNC005471)". Lineage: Eukaryota; Viridiplantae; Streptophyta; Magnoliopsida; Solanales; Solanaceae. The record is from RNAcentral.